Molecule: ribosomal RNA, 429 nt
Filed under: Acidobacteriota bacterium
Lineage: Bacteria; Pseudomonadati; Acidobacteriota
Description: Acidobacteria bacterium partial 16S ribosomal RNA
Rfam family: Bacterial small subunit ribosomal RNA
Source: RNAcentral
UGGGGAAUUUUGGACAAUGGGGGAAACCCUGAUCCAGCCAUCCCGCGUGUGCGAUGAAGGCCUUCGGGUUGUAAAGCACUUUUGGCAGGAAAGAAACGUCAUGGGUUAAUACCCCGUGAAACUAACGGUACCUGCAGAAUAAGCACCGGCUAACUACGUGCCAGCAGCCGCGGUAAUACGUAGGGUGCAAGCGUUAAUCGGAAUUACUGGGCGUAAAGCGUGCGCAGGCGGUUCGGAAAGAAAGAUGUGAAAUCCCAGAGCUCAACUUAGGAACUGCAUUUUUAACUACCGGGCUAGAGUGUGUCAGAGGGAGGUGGAAUUCCGCGUGUAGCAGUGAAAUGCGUAGAUAUGCGGAGGAACACCGAUGGCGAAGGCAGCCUCCUGGGAUAACACUGACGCUCAUGCACGAAAGCGUGGGGAGCAAACAGG